GAGUUUGAUCAUGGCUCAGAUUGAACGCUGGCGGCAGACCUAACACAUGCAAGUCGAGCGGUAGAGAGAAGCUUGCUUCUCUUGAGAGCGGCGGACGGGUGAGUAAUGCCUAGGAAUCUGCCUGGUAGUGGGGGAUAACGCUCGGAAACGGACGCUAAUACCGCAUACGUCCUACGGGAGAAAGCAGGGGACCUUCGGGCCUUGCGCUAUCAGAUGAGCCUAGGUCGGAUUAGCUAGUUGGUGAGGUAAUGGCUCACCAAGGCGACGAUCCGUAACUGGUCUGAGAGGAUGAUCAGUCACACUGGAACUGAGACACGGUCCAGACUCCUACGGGAGGCAGCAGUGGGGAAUAUUGGACAAUGGGCGAAAGCCUGAUCCAGCCAUGCCGCGUGUAUGAAGAAGGUCUUCGGAUUGUAAAGCACUUUAAGUUGGGAGGAGGGCAGUAAAUUAAUACUUUGCUGUUUUGACGUUACCGACAGAAUAAGCACCGGCUAACUCUGUGCCAG
RNAcentral lists this ribosomal RNA (506 nucleotides) under uncultured bacterium. RNAcentral's name for it is "bacterial SSU rRNA". It matches the Rfam family "Bacterial small subunit ribosomal RNA", at positions 9 to 511 of the family's 1533-position model. The record is from RNAcentral.